GGAUAUGGGACAAAUGAAGAGGAGGGGGAGAGAGGAUGGGUAUAGGACACAUGGAGGGGAGGGGGUAAAGAGAGGGUAUGGUACACAUGGAAGGGAAGGGGAGAGAGGGAAGAAUGGGAGGGAAGAGAGGGAGGGUAUGGGACACAUGGAUGGGAACGGUAGAUAGGGAGAAAUGGGACACAGGGAGGGGGAGAGGGAGAAAUUGGACAUAUGGAGGGGCUGGGAGGGAGGAAGGUAUGGGAAAAAUGAAG
Non-coding RNA from Pelobates cultripes (western spadefoot toad), 251 nucleotides. Lineage: Eukaryota; Metazoa; Chordata; Amphibia; Anura; Pelobatidae. The record is from the annotation of a GenBank genome assembly.